CCUUGAAACACCGGUUCCCGUACAAUCACCGAAGUUAAGCAACAUCGAGCUUGGUCCGUACCAAGAUGGGUGACCGCUUGGAAAUACCAGAUGCUGUAA
Molecule: non-coding RNA, 99 nt
Organism: Acanthosepion pharaonis
Lineage: Eukaryota; Metazoa; Mollusca; Cephalopoda; Sepiida; Sepiidae
Source: the annotation of a GenBank genome assembly